CGGGGCGUAGCGCAGUCCGGUAGCGCACUUGCAUGGGGGGCAAGUGGUCGCUGGUUCAAAUCCAGUCGCCCCGACCA
RNAcentral lists this transfer RNA (77 nucleotides) under Candidatus Eiseniibacteriota bacterium. RNAcentral's name for it is "tRNA-Pro". It matches the Rfam family "tRNA". From Rfam's summary of the family: Transfer RNA (tRNA) molecules are approximately 80 nucleotides in length. Lineage: Bacteria; Candidatus Eiseniibacteriota. The record is from RNAcentral.